This 1216-nucleotide long non-coding RNA is filed under the name Citrus x clementina. RNAcentral's name for it is "Citrus clementina (C. clementina) long non-coding RNA (CCLE_LNC005088)". The record is from RNAcentral. Lineage: Eukaryota; Viridiplantae; Streptophyta; Magnoliopsida; Sapindales; Rutaceae.
CAGAGGCCGCCCGCCAAGUUUGGUGCCAUUCCGAGUCCCGCGGACGAACUUCGCCCACGCCGCCCACCAAGGCUAUAGCCCACCCGUUUUUUGGCCAUUUUUCCGCUGGGGGGUCUUGGGACCCCGACCUUCGGGGGCUGAUUUUUGGGCGCGGCUGUGCCCGUGGCCUAUUUUUGGCACACAGAGGCCGCCCGCCAAGUAUGGUGCCAUUCCGAGUCCUGCGGACGAACUUCGCCCACGCCCCCCACCAAGGCUAUAGCCCACCCGUUUUUUGGCCAUUUUUCCGCUGGGGGGUCUUCGGACCCGACCUUCGGGGGCUGAUUUUUGGGCGCGGCUGUGCCCGUGGCCUAUUUUUGGCACACGGAGGCCGCCCGUCAAGUCCGGGGCCAUUCCGAGUCCCGCGGACGAACUUCGCCCACGCCCCCCACCAAGGCUAUCGCCCACCAGUUUUUUGGCCAUUUUUCCGCUGGGGGGUCUUGGGACCCCGACCUUCGGGGGCUGAUUUUUGGGCGCGGCAGUGCCCGUGGCCUAUGUUUGGCACACGGAGGCCGCCCGCCAAGUCUGGGGCCAUUCCGAGUCGCGCGGACGAACGUCGCCCACGCCCCCCACCAAGGCUAUAGCCCACCAGUUUUUUGGCCAUUUUUCCGCUGGGGGGUCUUGGGACCCCGACCUUCGGGGGCUGAUUUUUAGGCGCGGCUGUGCCCGUGGCCUAUUUUUGGCACACGGAGGCCGCCCGCCAUGUGUGGUGCCAUUCCGAGUCCCGCGGACGAACUUCGCCCACGCCCCCCACCAAGGCUAUAGCCCACCCGUUUUUUGGCCAUUUUUCCGCUGGGGGGUCUUGGGACCCCGACCUUCGGGGGCUGAUUUUUGGGCGCGGCUGUGCCCGUGGCCUAUUUUUGGCACACAGAGGCCGCCCGCCAAGUAUGGUGCCAUUCCGAGUCCCGCGGACGAACUUCGCCCACGCCCCCCACCAAGGCUAUAGCCCACCCGUUUUUUGGCCAUUUUUCCGCUGGGGGGUCUUGGGACCCCGACCUUCGGGUGCGGAUUUUUGGGCGCGGCUGUGCCCGUGGCCUAUUUUUGGCACACAGAGGCCGCCCGCCAAGUAUGGUGCCAUUCCGAGUCCCGCGGACGAACUUCACCCACGCCCCCCACCAAGGCUAUAGCCCACCCGUUUUUUGGCCAUUUUUCCGCUGGGGGGCUUGGGACCCCCACCUUC